Molecule: long non-coding RNA, 963 nt
Filed under: Heterocephalus glaber (naked mole-rat)
Lineage: Eukaryota; Metazoa; Chordata; Mammalia; Rodentia; Bathyergidae
Description: lncRNA (ENSHGLG00000046447.1)
Source: RNAcentral
CUUGGGUUCCAUUCUGAGUCUUCCGCGUACAAGCUAUGGGAACAUGAGUGCGGGUCACCUUCCUGACUUGUUUUCCUCACCCAGGAGCCUGUCGGAGUUGGGUUGGGGUUAUGUGCGAUUUUAUUUGCAUGUUUUGGGAGCGAGACUGCGGAUACCACACUUACUUAAGGUGGCCACACCCAGGGUCCUGGAUUCCUUUGCUCUCAAAGCUGGAGCUGAAUAUUUAUCUGCAGCUGGAAAGAAGUCUGUGCCUGUGGGCAGUUUUUCAAAUGGACUGUAACUGGAGCUUUCUCUGUUUGCAUUGCAAGUCAUCUCAGGUUUACAUCCAGAAAACCUAAUUGAAAUGUGAGCUGCAGACAAUUGGGAGGAAGCAGAGGAAUGAAAAGAGGUUGUUUCCUGAGGAUUUUGCAGAACAAUGGAGCCAGGCUGCUGCUUGCAGAAGGUCUUAGCUAUUCUUAGGCAGGGGAAGGGGAGGUUGCUUCUGCCCACCAAGCUCGUCCACUCCUGAGAUUCAGAUGGUCACGAAUCCCGUCUGCAAAGGUGCUCCUCCACAAGUAGGCAGAGUCCUCUCACACUGGUCUCAUGUGGACUCAUGUAGGGUGCCUUGCUAGUAGGGGCCCCUUUUUCCUAAACUCAGUGUUAUAAAGCUGUUCAAGAGUAUUCUAAACAAAACCAAAACAAAGCAAACAAAACUCUCCCAAGACCAGAUGUCUCCCAGAGAUUAUACAGUAAUAUUUGUCAUUUUGCCAAUUUCCCGAAGGAAAAAAGUUCUAUGUCUCUUAACUAUACAGAAUGCCAGAAUACAGAGGGAAUUUUUCCUAUGAUCCCUCCAUUGUUUUAGUUUAUUGGAUAGCUAUUGUCAGUGAAGCAGAUACGUUUUGGUUGAGAGAUGGGAUGGUAGGUCAUUUCUGUUUCUUGCUGGCAUCUUGCAUCCUCAUGUUUUGCUUUGGAAUACCAUUCCUU